Ribosomal RNA from Sinocyclocheilus grahami, 116 nucleotides. The record is from Ensembl. Lineage: Eukaryota; Metazoa; Chordata; Actinopteri; Cypriniformes; Cyprinidae.
GUCGGCAGCCAUAUCACCCUGUAGCCCAAGACUGGUUGCCCACUGAAGCUAAGCAGGGUUGAGCUGGUCAGUACCUGGAUGGGAGACCUCCUGGGAAAACUAGGUUGCUGUUGGAA